CGGGCCGUAGCGCAGCUUGGUAGCGCAUCUGCUUUGGGAGCAGAGGGUCGCAGGUUCGAAUCCUGUCGGCCCGACCA
Molecule: transfer RNA, 77 nt
Filed under: Coriobacteriia bacterium
Lineage: Bacteria; Bacillati; Actinomycetota; Coriobacteriia
Also listed under: 2 other names
Description: tRNA-Pro
Rfam family: tRNA
About the family: Transfer RNA (tRNA) molecules are approximately 80 nucleotides in length.
Source: RNAcentral